This 65-nucleotide transfer RNA is filed under the name Cylicocyclus nassatus. It matches the Rfam family "tRNA". From Rfam's summary of the family: Transfer RNA (tRNA) molecules are approximately 80 nucleotides in length. Their secondary structure includes four short double-helical elements and three loops (D, anti-codon, and T loops). RNAcentral also lists the same sequence under 1 other name. The record is from Rfam by way of RNAcentral. Lineage: Eukaryota; Metazoa; Nematoda; Chromadorea; Rhabditida; Strongylidae.
GGUAUAGCUCAGUGGUAGAGCGCUCCCUUAGCAUGGGAGAGGGCUGGGGUUCAAUUCCCCAUACC